CAUUACAGAAUGACUUUAUCUUUCUAGUCCACUGUAGUCCAGGAGGAAGAGAAGAAAUCUUUUUCAUCAGUGCAUUACUAUCAUUAUGGAAUGCGGAGGCUUAAUAUACAUCCAAUUUAAAUUUAUUCUUCUCAUGGGGAAAAUUUGGAGACCAUCAAUCUGAAUGUAUUCUCCAUAUGCUUCAUGCAUUGGGUUGAUCCCAGAAACCAAAAAUGACAUUCUUUGUUAUCCUAUUGGAUUCUCUGGUCCUUCUACUAAAUCGAGACAUUUAAAAAAAAAAUGGUGUCCCAAAAAUCUUAGUGCAUUUUAAGGUUAUUAAACCUUAAAAACAAACUAAGACUUUUGGGAUACUCUUUAUAGCUAAGAAGACAUUUUCUUUAACUCUUCUCUCUGUUCUCUAAUCUCCAACCAAAAUCCAUUAUUGACUUUCUCUUCUAAAAUAGGGAAUCGUAAUCUGGCCUAUUGUUUUAGACAGAAUUAAAUAUUUUAAAAUUCAGUACUAGGAUUCAGGUUUUUCCUUCGGGAUUUAAAGGACCUCUUCUACUCUUGAGUUUGUUUCAUGAGCUGAGUCCUCCCAACAUAGUCUCUCUGCAGACAGGCUUUUUCUGCAUUGGGAGGCAUCCAGAUAUUUUUUAGGAGUAUGCCCUUGUUGGUACAUCAUCAACUGAAAGCUUUAUCAUCAGACUGGGCCAUGCAGAGCUUCCAAGUGAACUUGUGUCUUGUUCCAUCUUUUUUUUCUGAUUUUUUGAGUCUGCUCUUGAGAGGAGAACAAGUUCAUGCGACUAGUGUGCCUGCCUGGCACAGUCUAACUAAUUUUAUUCUUGUCCUAAAUUUUUUGCCCAUUAUUAACUUUAAUUCAUGUCACAACAGAGUUGAAAUAUACUAACAUUACAAAAAGAAAUAACUUUUGCUUUUCACUCUUCUAUUUUUUUCUUCCCCUAAGUAUCUGUGAUGACAUGGAAGAUGGGAAGGGCUCUUGUUUUUUUUGUUUUCCAUUCCUUAAACUCUGACUUUUAAGCUGAAGUUAAAAGGCACUGCUGGGGGAUGGAGAAGUGUAGAGGAUGGAGAACUGAUCUUGGUGCCUGUCAGGUACCACUGACCUGCAAUGCAAAGGGAAUUUCAUAUCUAAAGCUCCCUAAACCAAAAAAAUCAUGGAUUUAAUUUAAAAAUGAAAAAGAGGAGUGACAAAGUUAGAAAAGAUAUUGACUUACAGCUCCUAUCAUUGUACUUUUUCAAUUUUGUAAUGCAAUCUGGAAAGGACCUUAUAAGCCAUUUAAGGCAAUCCUCCCAUGGUUCAUAUUUUUUUUUAAGACCCCAGGAGGUUAAAUGACUUGCCUCAAAGUUACAUAAAUAGUCAACAAUGUUGUAUGACAGAUCCAAUGCCAGCAUUAGUAUCAAGAAGAUUUGGGUUCAAAUCUCUCCUAACACAUGUCUUAGCUUUGUGACUAUGGAUAAAUCAUUUAACUUCUCAAUGCCAGUUAGACAACCUCCCACCCCAACUCCUAAUCAAUUUUCUAAGUCUUGAAAGACUUGGGAAGGGAAAAAAAAGUCUAAUCUAUUAAUGAAGAGAGUUUUCACAUUAGGAAUUACCUACAUUGAAGAACUCAUAAAAUUCUAUCAUCAAUUAAACCUUUUGGAUCUGCUUUUCUGAAAGAAAAAAAAAUACAAUAUAACCCAAAGACUAGAAAGAUUCUUUUUAGCUACACCCAGAUGAAUCAGUUUUAAAGGUCUUGACAUUUAACUGCAUAGUUCCCCAAUUUAGGAGGGAAAUCAGGGAUAAGUUUUUGCAUAGUCUUCACUCUGUCCUUACACAAGAACUCAACCCUUCUCUUUUUGGUUUGUUUCUGCCUAACCAGAAAUUUCUUAAGAAAAAUGAUUUAAUAAAAAUUGUCUUCUGUUUGUCACUAUCAAAAUAAUUUGGUUCUUGUGGUGUGGCUGAGGGCAAGGGAGAUGUCAAGAUGAUUAACAUGAAUUCUUCUGAAUUUGCUAAAUUUGAUAAGGAUACAUUUUGAAAGAGAUUCUCUCCCUGUACUUCUCCUCCUUCCCCAGUCAACUUGACAAAAAAGGGGUGUUUAAAAAAAACUACUUGAUUAUGUUUAAAAUCAUUAAGGUUAGAAAUACUUUUCUAGCAAAAUUCCACCUUUCUAGCAAAAGUCUCCUGCUAAUAAUUCAUUCCUAUGUGUUUUCUGUUAUGGACUGGGGGAGGGUCCCUUUUUUCUACAGUUGUAAUAAAUAUCUUCUGUAAACCAUAAAUAAGUGUAAGCUAUGUUCUCUUCUAAGAGCUAUAGUGAGCAAAUAUAGAGCUUGGUGGCUGUCAUCAGCAGUACUCAGACACACGGACUAGACAGAGCAUGAAUAGCUCUGUAAAAGAGUCAUAGCUAUAACAAGUAACAUAGUGCAGAGGUGGAAAGGAAAUAAUCUUUCUAUUCUCACCACCAGGAUUUUGCCACCAGAAUUCAAUAUCCCAAAGAAGCAAUGCCUCCUGCUGCCUGUUAAGGCUAGGAAGUCAGUGAGACAGCCUCAUAACCCAGAAGAUGUAGGUAUUUCCUGUGCACUUGGUAAUGUCCACACAAUAGUUAAGAGCCCAGAUACUCAGCAAUGACUGGGGAAAGUGACCCAACUCAUUCCUCUGAGUCUUCUUUUGUUUAAUUAUUAAGUAAUUUUUCUGAAAUCAUGAAGCAAGAAGGCUACACACCCACUAAACUCUUAAAUGGGAUUGUUAGAAGGAAACAUUUCAGAUUCUUUCAUCCCAGGAGCUCAUAGAAAAGCAUAGACGAUCCUUAUAAAAUAGGAAAAAUUGAAUUCACAAGUCUCCAGGCUUCUUGCGCUAUUCUUCUCAAACCCAAACUGCCAAACUUUACAAAUGGGGCAACUCUUGUUUUUCUCUACAUUUGCCAUUCAUUUUGAUAAAAAUUCAGUUAACCACACAGUUACCAAUUAUGUGGAAGGUUUCCUUGUAUGGAAUUAACAAAACAAUCAGCCCUGUGGGAAAUGUUAUAAAAAGGGUUCACUUUAAGUAUUUUCCUUUCAGACAACUAUUUGUAUACACCACGUACUAAUGCAUACCAUAUUCAAGACUGCAAAAGCUUUCCGCAAAAAAUGGGCAUUGUAUGGCUAUAUCAGCGCUCUUGUCUUAAGCAUUUUAGGAGCCAAGAGGCCAUUCUUUUUUGUUUUGUGUUGAUUUAAGAUUUACUCUGAACAUAACACCAAAUAAAAUGGGUAUAUGUGUGCAUGUAUGAAUAUAUAAACAUAUGCAUUCUAUAGUAUAUGUUAUAUACAUAUGUGUGUAUAUAUGUAUACACAUACAUUCAGAAAGACUGUACAUGAACCAUUGGUCUCUGUAAUGUACUGCUUUAAUUUUAGCUUUAUAAUGAACUUAGCCUGUAGCUAACUAUUUUUUUCUGGCCUACCUUCUGUCCUCAUGCUCAUGAAGUAACCUCAGUGUUUGGGAUGACUGGCUAAAUGAUAGUCCCAAAGUCAGUGAAUGUCUAAUACCCAAGAGUCUUCACUCCCAAGCUUUUCCUCUAUAUAAAGGAAUUUUCGUCCCCAGACUAUACCCCUCCACUCCAUAAAAAGCAAAGUAUGCUAUUGUAUAUGACUUUAAGGAAGUGUCCUGCAUUAAUUAGCUCAAUUAUUAACCAUUUCUCCAUUUUCUUAACUUGGUCAGAGUUUCAGUCUGUUAAAGCCAAGUCCAUUAUGUUCUAAAGAAAAGACAAUGGAAGUGCAAAUAGGCAUUAUAUUACUUUGCAGGGAGGGAGAUAUCACUUAGAAAUUAUAGUGGCAAACAUAAUAAGAUUUUAAAACUUGGUGUUUUGAAAUUCACCUCAUUUUGAGUUGUCAUAAGAAAAAACAAUGUAAAAAAUAUAUAUUCAAGUGGUUUCUGUGUUUUUGCUGAGUUUUGUAUCUUUGUUCUGUAAACUAUGGGUAUCAGAGCUCCUUCAGUUAAAUUGUGUCUCAGGUCUGCAGGUUUUCUUGGCCCAUGUAAUGGCAUUUCUUGGAUAAAAAUCCCUCCCCUAACCCACUUCCAUGUUAAGUUCCCAUUUAAAACAUUGUGUGAGCAGUCUAAAAUUAGAAUUUAAUUGAUGACUAGCAUUCUAAAGCUUGGGGUGAUUUGAAUCUAAGAAAUGUAUUUUUUUUAUGCAUUUUGUAAUCAUUUUUACAUAAGUUCUUUACUUGGGAAAUUUGGAUUGUCAACUGUAAAUUAACAAUUACAUUGUUUUCAGGAACAUUACUUAAUGGACCCAUUGUGUACCUCAAGAUCAAC
This is a long non-coding RNA of Sarcophilus harrisii (Tasmanian devil), 4264 nucleotides long. The record is from Ensembl. NCBI's taxonomy places the organism in Eukaryota, Metazoa, Chordata, Mammalia, Dasyuromorphia, Dasyuridae.